AGUGUGAGACUGAUUGAAUUGAGU
This 24-nucleotide microRNA is filed under the name Ananas comosus (pineapple). RNAcentral's name for it is "microRNA s1037_c130a". Lineage: Eukaryota; Viridiplantae; Streptophyta; Magnoliopsida; Poales; Bromeliaceae. The record is from RNAcentral.